RNAcentral lists this ribosomal RNA (825 nucleotides) under Lodderomyces parapsilosis. RNAcentral's name for it is "LSU rRNA". It matches the Rfam family "Eukaryotic large subunit ribosomal RNA", at positions 80 to 922 of the family's 3401-position model. Lineage: Eukaryota; Fungi; Ascomycota; Pichiomycetes; Serinales; Debaryomycetaceae. The record is from RNAcentral.
UUAGUAGCGGCGAGUGAAGCGGCAAAAGCUCAAAUUUGAAAUCUGGCACUUUCAGUGUCCGAGUUGUAAUUUGAAGAAGGUAUCUUUGGGUCUGGCUCUUGUCUAUGUUUCUUGGAACAGAACGUCACAGAGGGUGAGAAUCCCGUGCGAUGAGAUGUCCCAGACCUAUGUAAAGUUCCUUCGAAGAGUCGAGUUGUUUGGGAAUGCAGCUCUAAGUGGGUGGUAAAUUCCAUCUAAAGCUAAAUAUUGGCGAGAGACCGAUAGCGAACAAGUACAGUGAUGGAAAGAUGAAAAGAACUUUGAAAAGAGAGUGAAAAAGUACGUGAAAUUGUUGAAAGGGAAGGGCUUGAGAUCAGACUUGGUAUUUUGUAUGUUACUCUCUCGGGGGUGGCCUCUACAGUUUACCGGGCCAGCAUCAGUUUGAGCGGUAGGAUAAGUGCAAAGAAAUGUGGCACUGCUUCGGUAGUGUGUUAUAGUCUUUGUCGAUACUGCCAGCUUAGACUGAGGACUGCGGCUUCGGCCUAGGAUGUUGGCAUAAUGAUCUUAAGUCGCCCGUCUUGAAACACGGACCAAGGAGUCUAACGUCUAUGCGAGUGUUUGGGUGUAAAACCCGUACGCGUAAUGAAAGUGAACGUAGGUAGGACCUCCUUUAGGAGUGCACUAUCGACCGAUCCUGAUGUCUUCGGAUGGAUUUGAGUAAGAGCAUAGCUGUUGGGACCCGAAAGAUGGUGAACUAUGCCUGAAUAGGGUGAAGCCAGAGGAAACUCUGGUGGAGGCUCGUAGCGGUUCUGACGUGCAAAUCGAUCGUCGAAUUUGGGUAUAGGG